RNAcentral lists this transfer RNA (76 nucleotides) under Alphaproteobacteria bacterium. RNAcentral's name for it is "tRNA-Lys". It matches the Rfam family "tRNA". From Rfam's summary of the family: Transfer RNA (tRNA) molecules are approximately 80 nucleotides in length. Their secondary structure includes four short double-helical elements and three loops (D, anti-codon, and T loops). Further hydrogen bonds mediate the characteristic L-shaped molecular structure. tRNAs have two regions of fundamental functional importance: the anti-codon, which is responsible for specific mRNA codon recognition, and the 3' end, to which the tRNAs corresponding amino acid is attached (by aminoacyl-tRNA synthetases). tRNAs cope with the degeneracy of the genetic code in two manners: having more than one tRNA (with a specific anti-codon) for a particular amino acid; and 'wobble' base-pairing, i.e. permitting non-standard base-pairing at the 3rd anti-codon position. The record is from RNAcentral. Lineage: Bacteria; Pseudomonadati; Pseudomonadota; Alphaproteobacteria.
GGGCGUAUAGCUCAGUUGGUAGAGCAGCUGACUCUUAAUCAGCGGGUCCAUGGUUCGAGUCCAUGUACGCCCACCA